UCACACGUAGUGCCGGGGUAACUAAAGCUCUGAGUUCUCUCAGCUUCAGAGUUUUGUUACCCCGGCUCUAUGUGGG
This is a non-coding RNA of Branchiostoma floridae (Florida lancelet), 76 nucleotides long. The record is from Rfam. NCBI's taxonomy places the organism in Eukaryota, Metazoa, Chordata, Leptocardii, Amphioxiformes, Branchiostomatidae.